This 433-nucleotide ribosomal RNA is filed under the name uncultured bacterium. Its description in RNAcentral is "bacterial SSU rRNA". It matches the Rfam family "Bacterial small subunit ribosomal RNA", at positions 355 to 786 of the family's 1533-position model. The record is from RNAcentral.
UGAGGAAUAUUGGUCAAUGGGCGCGAGCCUGAACCAGCCAAGUCGCGUGAGGGAUGACGGCCCUACGGGUUGUAAACCUCUUUGUCGGGGAGCAAAUUCCGUUACGUGUAACGGAGUCGAGAGUACCCGAAGAAAAAGCAUCGGCUAACUCCGUGCCAGCAGCCGCGGUAAUACGGAGGAUGCGAGCGUUAUCCGGAUUUAUUGGGUUUAAAGGGUGCGUAGGCGGACUGUCAAGUCAGCGGUAAAAUACGGGGGCUCAACCUCCGCCCGCCGUUGAAACUGACGGUCUUGAGUGGGCGAGAAGUAUGCGGAAUGCGUGGUGUAGCGGUGAAAUGCAUAGAUAUCACGCAGAACUCCGAUUGCGAAGGCAGCAUACCGGCGCCCGACUGACGCUGAGGCACGAAAGCGUGGGUAUCGAACAGGAUUAGAUACC